CCUACGGGGGGCAGCAGUGGGGAAUAUUGCACAAUGGGGGGAACCCUGAUCCAGCGACGCCGCGUGAGUGAAGAAGUAUUUCGGUAUGUAAAGCUCUAUCAGCAGGGAAGAAAAUGACGGUACCUGACUAAGAAGCCCCGGCUAACUACGUGCCAGCAGCCGCGGUAAUACGUAGGGGGCAAGCGUUAUCCGGAUUUACUGGGUGUAAAGGGAGCGUAGACGGGGCAGCAAGUCUGAUGUGAAAGGUCGGGGCCCAACCCCGGGACUGCAUUGGAAACUGUUGAACUGGAGUACAGGAGAGGUAGGCGGAAUUCGGAGUGUAGCGGGGAAAGGGGUAGUAAUAAGGAGGAAAACCAGGGGCGAAGGCGGCUUACUGGACUUUA
RNAcentral lists this ribosomal RNA (383 nucleotides) under uncultured bacterium. RNAcentral's name for it is "partial 16S ribosomal RNA". It matches the Rfam family "Bacterial small subunit ribosomal RNA", at positions 338 to 738 of the family's 1533-position model. The record is from RNAcentral.